This 492-nucleotide ribosomal RNA is filed under the name uncultured bacterium. RNAcentral describes it as "partial 16S ribosomal RNA". It matches the Rfam family "Bacterial small subunit ribosomal RNA", at positions 29 to 507 of the family's 1533-position model. The record is from RNAcentral.
AGUGAACGCUGGCGGUAGGCCUAACACAUGCAAGUCGAACGGCAGCACAGUAAGAGCUUGCUCUUACGGGUGGCGAGUGGCGGACGGGUGAGGAAUACAUCGGAAUCUACUUUUUCGUGGGGGAUAACGUAGGGAAACUUACGCUAAUACCGCAUACGACCUACGGGUGAAAGCAGGGGAUCUUCGGACCUUGCGCGAUUGAAUGAGCCGAUGUCGGAUUAGCUAGUUGGCGGGGUAAAGGCCCACCAAGGCGACGAUCCGUAGCUGGUCUGAGAGGAUGAUCGGCCACACUGGAACUGAGACACGGUCCAGACUCCUGCGGGAGGCAGCAGUGGGGAAUAUUGGACAAUGGGCGCAAGCCUGAUCCAGCCAUACCGCGUGGGUGAAGGAGGCCUUCGGGUUGUAAAGCCCUUUUGUUGGGAAAGAAAAGCAGCAGGUUAAUACCCCGCUGUUCUGACGGUACCCAAAGAAUAAGCACCGGCUAACUUCGUG